RNAcentral lists this transfer RNA (79 nucleotides) under SAR202 cluster bacterium. Its description in RNAcentral is "tRNA-Ile". The stretch from base 8 to 66 matches the Rfam family "tRNA", at positions 8 to 63 of the family's 71-position model. From Rfam's summary of the family: Transfer RNA (tRNA) molecules are approximately 80 nucleotides in length. Their secondary structure includes four short double-helical elements and three loops (D, anti-codon, and T loops). Further hydrogen bonds mediate the characteristic L-shaped molecular structure. tRNAs have two regions of fundamental functional importance: the anti-codon, which is responsible for specific mRNA codon recognition, and the 3' end, to which the tRNAs corresponding amino acid is attached (by aminoacyl-tRNA synthetases). tRNAs cope with the degeneracy of the genetic code in two manners: having more than one tRNA (with a specific anti-codon) for a particular amino acid; and 'wobble' base-pairing, i.e. permitting non-standard base-pairing at the 3rd anti-codon position. The record is from RNAcentral. Lineage: Bacteria; Bacillati; Chloroflexota; Dehalococcoidia.
GGGCCUGUAGCUCAGUUGGUUAGAGCACACCCUUGAUAAGGGUGGGGUCGAAAGUUCGAGUCUUUUUCUCGGUCCACCA